Non-coding RNA from Coprinopsis sp. MPI-PUGE-AT-0042, 105 nucleotides. NCBI's taxonomy places the organism in Eukaryota, Fungi, Basidiomycota, Agaricomycetes, Agaricales, Psathyrellaceae. The record is from the annotation of a GenBank genome assembly.
GACACCAUAGCCAAGUGGUUACGGCGACAGAUUAGAAUGUCUAAAUGCCUGUGUUCAUUUAUCUGUUCCUCUUUGAGGGCGCAGGUUCGAAUCCUGCUGGUGUCG